This 253-nucleotide ribosomal RNA is filed under the name uncultured bacterium. RNAcentral describes it as "partial 16S ribosomal RNA". It matches the Rfam family "Bacterial small subunit ribosomal RNA", at positions 524 to 776 of the family's 1533-position model. RNAcentral also lists the same sequence under 1 other name. The record is from RNAcentral.
GACGAACCGUCCAAACGUUAUUCGGAUUCACUGGGCUUAAAGGGUGCGUAGGCGGCUCAGAAAGUAGGGUGUGAAAGCCCUCGGCUCAACCGAGGAACUGCGCCCUAAACUACUGGGCUUGAGGAACGCAGAGGUAAGCGGAACUUACGGUGGAGCGGUGAAAUGCGUUGAUAUCGUAAGGAACACCAGGAGCGAAAGCGGCUUACUGGGCGUUUUCUGACGCUGAUGCACGAAAGCUAGGGGAGCGAACGGG